Bos taurus (domestic cattle) is the source of this 5271-nucleotide long non-coding RNA. NCBI's taxonomy places the organism in Eukaryota, Metazoa, Chordata, Mammalia, Artiodactyla, Bovidae. The record is from Ensembl.
GGCAGGGGCUGUGUCUCCCCUUCACCCUGGAGCUGCCUCAGGUCGGGGCACUGUUUUCUCCGUGAGGCUGGAGGCUCGCUGAGAGAGACUCUGCUUCCUGUUGGCACUGGGGCUGUGGUCUGGCAGCCAGGCGCCUGGCCGCUCCCCACACCUCCCAGGAGGCCUGGUGCAGAGGGAGCGGGUCAUGUCCUCCUGCAACGCUCUCCAGCCACCCACCACUUGCCGGUGAGUCCACAGCUCCCGAGGCAGCAGGGCCACCCCUCUAUCUGAGCAGGGCCCCUCGGGGUGUGACCAGGCCAGGGGAGGGUCAGCUCCCCACAGGGGGUCUCCGCAGGGGCUCGCUGCCCUCCCCCAGCUCCACCCUUACCUACCUACUCUCCCCCAACUGUAAGCUCACUCAGCAGCCCAUGUCAAGGGAGACUGCUAAACGGGGCCAGGUGGGCGCUGGGCUGAAGCCAAAGGCCUACACUCAUCCUCAGGAGGGGCUUGAGCGCAGGACCAGGGUGGAAGAAGACGCGUGAGAGGCUGCCAGAACGGGGAGGGUCUAGAGCCAGGAGACAGAGCCUCUGUCCUCAAUUCCCGGGGGCCUCGGGCAGGCCCUUCCUUUCUAUCAGCCUGUUGACCCAUGAGGUGACGGGCCUGGGGUAGUCGCUGCAAUCCCUCUGGGCUUCACUUUUUUUUUUUUAAUUUUAAAAAAUUCCAACAGGGACAAUACAUCUUGGAAAACUGUAAGAUUAGGAGACCUCCUGUGAGAGCCCCAGGAAGCCCAAUGAGAGGAAACGCUGUGGAGCGUGGGGGAGGUUUGAAGCUGACACUGAGGAAGCCUUCCUGGGAAGGAGCUUGAGCCCCUGGACAAGACUGGGGUCACUGCUGUCCGGGGCUACAGCUGCCUGGGCAGCAGGAGGGACCUGUGAGCAAAGCAGUGUUGGGAGAUACCUCUGCCCUUGUCUCUGGGAUAGCAGGACUCUGUCCUGGUCAUGCUGGAUGUCCGAUCCUGGCCCUCAUGAGAUCUGACUUUUGACCUUUGGCUUAAUCAUAGACUGAGGUUGUUUGUCCAGUCACCCCACACCAUUAAGAUUGUGCGGAGCCCAGUGCUGGCUCCGGGCAGGGCGGGCAGUCUGUCUGAGGAGGAGACACAGCCUCUGCCCUCAGGAGCCCAGUGGAGGGGCAGUAGGCUCUCCCCCAGGGAAGAGACCUGUCAUAGGGACAAAUGACCUGGGAGGCAGGCGAACCCCUCACCCCUCCUCUAGGGGCAGCUGGAGCCUGAACUGCAUGUGAAUCUGAAACUAGAUCAGGGAAGAGCUGGCAGCAUGCCCGGCAGUGGCAGCAGUGCUUUGGGGAGCUGGUGGGGCUGAGGAAGCACCCGUGAGUCCCCCUGCCCUGGCCGUCUGCAGACAAGCCCUUGGGUGUAAGGGACAAAGGCUGGGUGGGAGAGUGCACACUAUGGGCAGAUGUUCAGGCCUGGGAGAGGGGCGUGCUGGGCUCUCGGUCCUCCAUGCUGGUGAGUGUGCUGCACGCAGAAGAUGCACGAGGCAUCAGUGAGGGUGUGUGGUGCAGGUGUGUGCACUUCUGGUGCAACACGUGUGGGUGAGCCAGGAUGCAGCCCACAAGGGGAGCAGGGAGACUGGGCCAGUGUCUGCCCCAUGAGGUCAUGCUGGGAAAUCUGCCCCUGCUUCCUGGACCUCAAGGCCCCUGCACACAGGGAGGGGUCGGCAGAGACCAGUGUAGGCCUCCCCAGCUCCAUCAGUCUGUGCUCUGAGCACCCGCACCUGGGGAAGCCCCAAGGGGCCCUGCCCGCCCACUGCCAGGCCUUCUGUCUCCCCUUGAUCCCUCGCCUUGGCGCCCCAACAACUGUGCCUGACCAGCGAAUGCAGACUGAGCCAGCUGUCGCUGUGACAUCCAUUCUCCUCGGUGGGCCUGGGUGCUCCCACCCAGCUCCCCUAGCUCCUCUCGCCCGCCUCCCUCCCUGCUACACCCACAUCUGGGAAUUAGGCAGGAUGACACCUAAAAGCCUCCAGUGGCCAUGGAAUCUCAUGGGGUUCUGAGCCUUAAUCCACGAGCUGGUCUCGAGAGACCAAGGUAACAAGAAGUUCUGCUCCCAGCACCCUCAGAUCCCCACUUUCUCUGCCCCGGGGCUCUGGGAGGAUUCCUGGGGCACCAGCCCAGAAGAGGAAAAAGGCGCCUUAUUUGCAUAUCACUUUCAUCUGAUUUGCACAUGCCUCCUGGUUUGGCCAUUUCUAAGCAACCCUAGAAUUUGGAUCUCACAGGAUGCUGAGCCGUUUCUAGGCGCUAGCUUCUCUCCAUCUCCCACAACCCAGGUGCCUCCUAAAGGACAGUCACAUGAGCGUCCCUGCAAAUAAUCCACCUGCCAAUGCAGGAGAUGCAGGUUUGAUCCCUAGGUCGGGAAGAUCUCCUGGAGAAGGAAAUGGCAACCCACUCCAGUAUUCUUGCCUAGGAAAUCCCAUGGACAGUAGAGCUUAGUGGGCUAUUGUCCAUGGGGUCGCAAAGAGUCAGACACAACUUAGUGACUAAAAGGACAUCAAAGCGCAGUCACACGCACGGAACUCUCCCUCCACUCAGCUGCACUUGCACGCAGGCGCAAGAGUACAGCAGCCUCCGCCAAAUGCAGAAAUGCGGAGUCCUGGGCCCCAGCCCUGUGCACCCUCACCCUUGGCCCAUGGAAUAUACACUGAAUACACACUCACAUGUGCAACUGCAUACUUCCGUCUUCACACGCACUCAAAACUCACACACAUUUGUCUACACACAGCCUCAGGGCACAAGCAAACACAACUCAGCUUCACAUAGGAGUUGGGUGGGUUACACACAGUCUCUGUGCCAGGGUGGGCUGCCAGUGAGGUGCCCUAAGCAACAGAUCCCACCCAGCCCCUGAGAUGGGCAGGACUGGCAAGGGUCCUGCUGUGUGACUGGCUGGGAGGAGACAGCGCAGCUCAGGUGGCUAUUGGUAGUGGUUUUACCACCAGCAGGUCCCUAGGAUACACAGUCAAUGUAGCAACCCUUUAGUCAGAGUUUUGUCUUCCCCGAAAUAUGGUUUCAUCCUGCGUUUUCUGUACCAUUUCUGGUCCCCCAACCCCAGGCCUCCUGCCCUUAUUGGUCCCCAAACAGCUUCCUUGGGUGGCCCUGCCUUCUGACUUUAUUCACCCUACUCCCUACCAAGAACACCUCCCUGCCUCCUCCAACGUGAACACCCAACACCUUCAUUCAUGCCCUCUUCCUGGGUGGGCUUCCUUCCCUGUUCUCUCGGCACACUUCUAUACAUCCUUCAAGUCCCACCUUGAGCGUCACCUCUUCGGUGAAUCCUUCUCCAGUCUUACCAGGCAGAAGUAAUCUCGCUCCUCACUCUGUAAAUCCAGAGGCAGAGCAGUGGGUAGAAAGACACAGUUGGCCCUGAAUAUCUGUGUAGAGGAUGUUUAGGGGUUCGGAGGCUUUAUUUGUAAGGAAGGGCAGGGGGCUUUUCAGAAAAACAUAAUUACAUGGUGAGUGUCUGGGUUUAAAUUAUAUUUGUGUUUAUUUUCGGGGAAGAGCAUAGACACCAUAAUCAGACAAUACUGCUUCUACCAUUUCUGCUGUGCAUCUUUGGCCCCGCACCCCUGAGAUCACUAACGUGGCUGAAGGAGCACUGUCUCGCCUUAUUGUUCUAAGGCUGUUCACUAAGCAGGCCAGUAUGUCAAUGAGUUGCUGGGGCAAGUAACAGCAACUUCAUCUGGAAAGCCAGCAGACCAAGGUGGUGGACCAGUGUCCCAAAGAACUGUCUGGCCCAGGAGACAUGGGUUCAAUCCCUGGAUUGGGAAAAUUCCCUGGAAAAGGAAAUGGCAAUCCACUCCAGUAUUCUUGCCUGGGAAAUCCCAUGGACAAGGGAGCCUGGCAGGGCUUAAUUUCCAAAUAUACAAACAGUUCAUGCAACUUGCAACAAUAACGAAAAACAUGAGCAACCCAAUCAAAACAUGGGCAGAAGACCUCAAGAGAUAUUUCUCCAAAGAAGACAUAUAGAUGGCCAACAGUCACAUGAAAAGAUACUCAAUCUUGCUAAUUAUUAGAGAAAUGCAAAUCAAAACUACAAUGAGGUGCCACUUCACACUGGUCAGAACGGUCAUCAUUAAAAAAUCUAGAAAUAACAAAUGCUGGGGAGGAUUUGGAGUAAAGAAAACCCUCCUACAUUGGUGUGACUGUAAACUGGCGUAGCCACUAUGGAAAACUGUAUGGAUGUUCCUCAAAAAACUAUAAACGGAACUACCAUAUGAUCCAGCAAUCCCAUUCCUGGGCAUAUAUCCUGACUAAACUAUACUCAAAGAGAAACAUACACCCUAUGUUCAUAGCAGCACGGUUCACAAUAGGCAAGACAUGGGAACAACCUAAAUGUCUAUCAACAGAUGACUGGAUAAAGGAGAUGGAAUACUAUCAGACAUAAAAAGGAAUGAAAUAAUGCCAUUUGUAGCAACGUGGAUGGACCUAGAGAUUAUCACACUAAGUCACAAAGACAAAUACCAUGUGAUAUCACUUAUGUGUAAAAUCUAUAAAGAAGGCUGAGCGCCAAAGAAUUGAUGCUUUUGAACUGUGGUGUUGGAGAAGACUCUUGAGAGUCCCUUGGACUGCAAGGAGAUCCAACCCGUCCAUCCUAAAGGAAAUCAGUCCUGAAUGUUCAUUGGAAGGACUGAUGCUGAAGGAUGAAUACUUUGGCCACCUGAUGCGAAGGACUGACUCAUGGAAAAGACCCUGAUGCUGGGAAAGACUGAAGGCAGGAGGAGAAGGGGAUGAGAGAGGAUGAGAUGGUUGGAUGGCAUCCCCGACUCGAUGGACAUGAGUUUGAGCGAGCUCCAGGAGUUGGUGAUGGACAGGGAAGCCUGGCGUGCUGCAGUCCAUGGGAUCGCAGAGUCCGACGCGACUGAGCGACUGAACUGAACUGGUGUGUAAACUCUAAAGUGUGACGCAAAUAAACUUAUCUACAGAACAGAAGCAAACUCACAGACACAGAGAACAGACUUGUGGUUGCCAAGGGGGUGGGGGAGAGACGGAUUGGGAGUCUGAGAUGUGCAGAUGCAAACUAUUAAAUACAGAAUGGAUAAGCAACAAGGUCCUCAUUGCAUAGCCCAGAGAACUAUGGUCAAUACCUGUGAUAAACCACAAUGAAAAAGAAUAUGAAAAGGACUAUAUAUUAUACAUACGCGUACAGCUGAAUCACUUUGCUGUACGCCAGAAAUUAACACGACAUUGUAAACCAACUAUAUUUUAAUAAAAUAAAUUUUUAAAAUA